This 457-nucleotide ribosomal RNA is filed under the name uncultured bacterium. Its description in RNAcentral is "partial 16S ribosomal RNA". It matches the Rfam family "Bacterial small subunit ribosomal RNA", at positions 355 to 804 of the family's 1533-position model. The record is from RNAcentral.
UAGGGAAUCUUCCACAAUGGACGCAAGUCUGAUGGAGCAACGCCGCGUGAGUGAAGAAGGCUUUCGGGUCGUAAAACUCUGUUAUUGAAGAAGAACGUGUGUGACAGUAACUGGUCAUGCAGUGACGGUAUUCAAUCAGAAAGUCACGGCUAACUACGUGCCAGCAGCCGCGGUAAUACGUAGGUGGCAAGCGUUGUCCGGAUUUAUUGGGCGUAAAGCGAGUGCAGGCGGUCUUUUAAGUCUGAUGUGAAAGCCUUCGGCUUAACCGAAGAAGGGCAUCGGAAACUGGGAGACUUGAGUGCAGAAGAGGAGAGUGGAACUCCAUGUGUAGCGGUGAAAUGCGUAGAUAUAUGGAAGAACACCAGUGGCGAAGGCGGCUCUCUGGUCUGUAACUGACGCUGAGGCUCGAAAGCGUGGGUAGCAAACAGGAUUAGAUACCCUGGUAGUCCACGCCGUA